UUUUUUAAUUUUUUUUUCAAAAACCAAAAAUAUUAGUAUUUUUUAUAAAAUAUGAUUUUUUUGAAAGGUUAAAAUCAUACAAGUGCCUGCAAAUAUAGUAAAUUAUAAAUAUCCCUACAAAGUCUAACUUUUAUACGAUGUCUAUAAAAAUUUUAAUGUUUUUAAAUAUGUCACUCUAUUUUGUUGCCGUUAGAGAUCUGUUUAUAUUUUAACAGUAAAUAAAUAAAAUGUCAAUUUUGUCAUUAUAAAUAUGUCCCUUCAAAAACUACAAUAGUGUAAUAUAUGAGAGGUAAUAGUAUUAAGUUAGACUUUGUAGGGUUCAUAUUAAUCUUUUUGGUUUGUUAUCGUUAGCUUACUAUUUAUUUUUUAACAGUAAAUAAAUAAAAUGUCAAUUUUGUCAUUAUAAAUAUGUCCCUUCAAAAACUACAAUAGUGUAAUAUAUGAGAGGUAAUAGUAUUAAGUUAUCUCAGAAACUAAUCAGAGUUAAGUAUUUAACCUAUGGUUAACUAAAAUUUUUUUGCAGAUUAUAAAAGUAUGGAUAUAUUUGAAAAUAUUAGGACUUUUAUAAAGACAAUAUAUAAAACUUGAACCUUAUUAGAAUAUAUUUGCAAAUUACUAUAUUUAUAGAAAUUUUUAUGCAAUUAAUUCUUUUAAAAGAUACUAAGGU
RNAcentral lists this long non-coding RNA (667 nucleotides) under Ananas comosus (pineapple). RNAcentral describes it as "long non-coding RNA (ACOM_LNC041453)". Lineage: Eukaryota; Viridiplantae; Streptophyta; Magnoliopsida; Poales; Bromeliaceae. The record is from RNAcentral.